AUCGUGUCACCUUUUAUUUUUUAGUAGAGCGUGAAUUGUGAACGUUUAGACUCAAAGUCCUAUAAAGAAUAACAGGUGCUUAUGUAAUUGGGCCUUUACUACCGAUUUCUUAAUUUACAGCCACUUUAUAACUGGCCCAUCUCUAAGUAUAACAAAACGUUUUCUUCUCUUUCUCAUCAUCCUCCUCGAGUCAGAUCUCACAUGCUAUGGCCGAAACAGAUCUUGCGUUUAGUUCCCAUGGCGUUGCACCGGUCAAGUAGUAGGACGUACCCU
This 273-nucleotide long non-coding RNA is filed under the name Hordeum vulgare. RNAcentral describes it as "long non-coding RNA (HVUL_LNC004418)". The record is from RNAcentral. Lineage: Eukaryota; Viridiplantae; Streptophyta; Magnoliopsida; Poales; Poaceae.